CCUGCCAGUAGUCAUAUGCUUGUCUUAAAGAUUAAGCCAUGCAUGUCUAAGUAUAAGUAAUUAUACUGCGAAACUGCGAAUGGCUCAUUAAAUCAGUUAUAGUUUAUUUGAUAGUACCUUACUACUUGGAUAACCGUAGUAAUUCUAGAGCUAAUACAUGCAAAAAGUCCCAACUUUACAGAAGGGAUGUAUUUAUUAGAUACAAAACCAAUGCUAGGGGGCAACCUCUAGAAACAUUGAUGAAUCAUGAUAACUUCGCGAAUCGUAUAGGUCUUGCACGACGAUGAAUCAUUCAAAUUUCUGCCCUAUCAACUUUGGAUUGUAGUGUAGUGGACUACAAUGGUUGUAACGGGUGACGGGGGAAUUAGGGGUUCGGUUCCGGAGAGGGAGGCCUGAGAGAUGGC
This 404-nucleotide ribosomal RNA is filed under the name uncultured eukaryote. RNAcentral's name for it is "bacterial SSU rRNA". It matches the Rfam family "Eukaryotic small subunit ribosomal RNA", at positions 13 to 407 of the family's 1831-position model. The record is from RNAcentral.